This is a non-coding RNA of Pelobates cultripes (western spadefoot toad), 506 nucleotides long. The record is from the annotation of a GenBank genome assembly. Lineage: Eukaryota; Metazoa; Chordata; Amphibia; Anura; Pelobatidae.
CAUCUCUAAGGACAGCUCUCCAUCAGAUUAGGCAGUGUGGUACGGGUUUUGAUAGGGUUACCACUUUUCAUGUUUGUGGUUAUUCUACGUUUCUCCCAGACCAUGUCCCAUGGGUCUUACCACCCGACCAUGGAAAGGCGGAUACUUACGGCUGACUUUCAUGCUGCCAAACGAGGACGGCUGCUGCACUGGCUUACAGCUUUCUGCAAAGGAUGUGGUUCUCGGCCUCCCCGACAUGAUGCUCCAGCUCCUCCCUCACCUUCUCUCUUCGUUAAAAAAGCCAGACAGAGGGCAAGACCAUCAAGACCCCAGCCUCUUUACAAUCAGAUGGGGUGCACCAGAGGAGUCCAGGUGCACCCUAACACUUGGCUGAAUGCAGUCACCUUAUCCCAGAGGCAGUCAAUGCUCUGCCACCAUCCCUCAGGGGGGGGAAUCCAAUGGGGGGUCAAUAUGGCAGCAGAUUGGGGGGUCAAUAUGGCAGCAGAUUGGGGGUGUCUAUAUGGCAG